This 307-nucleotide ribosomal RNA is filed under the name uncultured bacterium. RNAcentral's name for it is "bacterial SSU rRNA". It matches the Rfam family "Bacterial small subunit ribosomal RNA", at positions 1146 to 1474 of the family's 1533-position model. The record is from RNAcentral.
AAACUGCCGAUGAUAAGUCGGAGGAAGGUGUGGAUGACGUCAAGUCCUCAUGGCCUUACGGGUUGGGCUACACACGUGCUACAAUGGUAGUGACAAUGGGUUAAUCCCAAAAAGCUAUCUCAGUUCGGAUUGGGGUCUGCAACUCGACCCCAUGAAGUUGGAAUCGCUAGUAAUCGCGGAACAGCGUGCCGCGGUGAAUACGUUCCCGGGCCUUGUACACACCGCCCGUCACACCAUGGGAGUUGGUUCUACCCGACGGCCGUGCGCUAACCUUACGGGAGGCAGCGGACCACGGUAGGAUCAGCGA